CAGUUACAUGUUGGAGAUGGGGAUUUCUGGAUUGGACUCUAUCGCAGCCUCCAGCAUCCAAGGAGAGGCAGCACAACCUCCACUUGCCCCUCACAGUAUUAUUGGCUGGAUGGAAGCAAGACAAAGUACAGGAACUGGCACUGGGAUGAGCCUUCAUGUGGCAAAGAAAGGUGCGUGGUUUUGUAUUACCAGCGCUCUCGACCAUUUGAAGACAGCCGUUUCCCUUUCCAGUGGAUGGAUGACAACUGUAGCUCCAAGAACAACUUUAUCUGCAAAUACCAGGAAGAAAAACUGCCUCUAUUUACAGCUCCAUCUCCUAAGCCAAAUGUAGUGCCAACAACAGAGGAAGAUGAAAACAUGAGGAUAGUGCACGGAUCAUCAGUAUCUUUUUCAGACAACUCUCUUAAUGUUUCCUACAUCCUCUGUGCUACCAUCCCUGCUCUCCUGCUGCUGCUGUUUGCAGUCACUGGACUCCUCUGCUACAAACAACAUGGGAAAAGGAGGAAGACAGAGACAAAAAGCUUUUCUGGCAGAUCAAAGCACGGAACAACAACAAUAGCUUCGCCUUGCCCCGUUCAAGGACCUUACGCCUUCAGUGAUAUCACUAGACUACCCCACUCUGUCCUGGACGGCAGGAUGACAGCUAAAAGGACUGAGUAUUCUUGUUCUCCUUCACUUAAUUCCUUAUGUGACGAUUAUGAGAAUGUAACAAGUGUGGACAGGGAAAGCGGCUUCGUGUCCAAUGACAUUUAUGAGAGCUGCAGGGCUCAAAGCCAGCAGUGCCACAGCCAGACUGGAUGGGUGGAAAACGAGAUCUAUGGAUGAUUCCACCUAUACUCAUUGCUGAUGAUGUUCCAAUGGAUUCCUGGAAAGAACUCAGACUGUUCCUGCUCCUGUUCUUGCUGCACAUCCAGCUGGACACCUGGAGGUGGAGAAAUAACACAUGUUCAUCUGGAUUUAAAUAGACUGUGGUUUACCAGGCAGAAACAUGCUAACCAGCUGUACGUGAGCUGUAACAUCUUUGUCUGCUGAGACUCAAUAUUUAGGUCCUAAAAAUGAUUAUUUUUUGGCGGUCAUAAUAAUAAAAGGUAUUAUUAAGACAAACAAAGCCUUUACUUUUGUUAAUUUCACUCUGAUAAGCAUCAGGCGUCUAUAAAUUGUAAAGAUUUGUGGAUUCGUGUGUGAAUAGGUUAAAGUUGCAAGCAUGUUUCAAAUAAUCAUACAGAAUAAUGUGAUUUGGUAUUAGUAAUACAAGUCCUGUUCCAAUCUAGACAUGUUUUGUUUUUACCCAAGGGUUUAUAAUCUGUCAAUAAAGCUUUGUGCUACAAACUAUAUUCUUGUCUUUUCUUUAAUUUAAUCCAGCAUUAGCUGUGUUUUGUUUCUG
RNAcentral lists this long non-coding RNA (1384 nucleotides) under Oryzias sinensis (Chinese medaka). Its description in RNAcentral is "lncRNA (ENSOSIG00000018517.1)". Lineage: Eukaryota; Metazoa; Chordata; Actinopteri; Beloniformes; Adrianichthyidae. The record is from RNAcentral.